RNAcentral lists this long non-coding RNA (229 nucleotides) under Nicotiana benthamiana. RNAcentral's name for it is "long non-coding RNA (NBEN_LNC038971)". The record is from RNAcentral. Lineage: Eukaryota; Viridiplantae; Streptophyta; Magnoliopsida; Solanales; Solanaceae.
AUCAGUACUGCGUCGACUGCUAUGUGCUAAAGACUGCGGAAUAAGAGCUCUUAGUCCUUUCGGCACGGCAUAAAAUAAAGGCUGUUCUUGUUGCGGGUUUAUCAGAGCUUGAGAAUCUAGCUAGGGCUAUUUGAACUAAUAAGGAAAAGUAGGCAUGCUAAGUACAUUUUGAUGGCAUUGAAUCGGAAGAUAGCCUAUCUAAGAGAAGAUGAAAUAGCAAGUGCUUGAG